AGUUGCGAAGGCGGCUCUCUGGACUGUACCUGACGCUGAGGCACGAAAGCGUGGGGAGCAAACAGGAUUAGAUACCCUGGUAGUCCACGCUGUAAACGAUGAGUACUAGGUGUCGGGGGUUACCCCCCUCGGUGCCGCAGCUAACGCAUUAAGUACUCCGCCUGGGAAGUACGCUCGCAAGAGUGAAACUCAAAGGAAUGGACGGGGACCCGCACAAGUAGCGGAGCAUGUGGUUUAAUUCGAAGCAACGCGAAGAACCUUACCUAAGCUUGACAUCCCAAUGACAUCUCCUUAAUCGGAGAGUUCCCUUCGGGGACAUUGGUGACAGGUGGUGCAUGGUUGUCGUCAGCUCGUGUCGUGAGAUGUUGGGUUAAGUCCCGCAACGAGCGCAACCCUUGUCUUUAGUUGCCAUCAUUAAGUUGGGCAC
This 427-nucleotide ribosomal RNA is filed under the name Clostridioides difficile. Its description in RNAcentral is "bacterial SSU rRNA". It matches the Rfam family "Bacterial small subunit ribosomal RNA", at positions 711 to 1138 of the family's 1533-position model. The record is from RNAcentral. Lineage: Bacteria; Bacillati; Bacillota; Clostridia; Peptostreptococcales; Peptostreptococcaceae.